This 402-nucleotide ribosomal RNA is filed under the name uncultured bacterium. Its description in RNAcentral is "bacterial SSU rRNA". It matches the Rfam family "Bacterial small subunit ribosomal RNA", at positions 355 to 774 of the family's 1533-position model. The record is from RNAcentral.
UGGGGAAUAUUGGACAAUGGGCGAAAGCCUGAUCCAGCCAUGCCGCGUGAGUGAUGAAGGCCCUAGGGUUGUAAAGCUCUUUUAACGGGGAAGAUAAUGACGGUACCCGUAGAAUAAGCCCCGGCUAACUUCGUGCCAGCAGCCGCGGUAAUACGAAGGGAGCUAGCGUUGCUCGGAAUCACUGGGCGUAAAGCGCACGUAGGCGGACUCUUAAGUCGGUGGUGAAAUCCUGGAGCUCAACUCCAGAACUGCCUUCGAUACUGGGAGGCUCGAGGUCGGGAGAGGUGAGUGGAACUGCGAGUGUAGAGGUGAAAUUCGUAGAUAUUCGCAAGAACACCAGUGGCGAAGGCGGCUCAUUGGCCCGAUACUGACGCUGAGGUGCGAAAGCGUGGGGAACAAACA